CCAUUGGAGGUUCAGUGGUAGAAUUCUCGCCUGCCACUUGGUAGACCUGGGUCCGAUUCCCGGCCAAUGCA
Molecule: transfer RNA, 71 nt
Filed under: Danio rerio (zebrafish)
Lineage: Eukaryota; Metazoa; Chordata; Actinopteri; Cypriniformes; Danionidae
Rfam family: tRNA
About the family: Transfer RNA (tRNA) molecules are approximately 80 nucleotides in length.
Source: Rfam by way of RNAcentral